AUCUGAUCACGCCUGAAGCAGACCAUGUCAAGGUGCAACAGAACCUGGUCAACAUUUGGGCUAAGAUAAUAAAAUGUGAGGCUGGAUGAACAUAGCAGGCCCAGCAGCAUCUCAGGAGCACAAAAGCUGACGUUUCGGGCCUAGACCAAGGGCUUGAGCUUUUAAGUGGUGAAUGCAAAGAAACUCAUGGUACUACUUUGAAGAGGAGCAGAGGAGUUCACCUCGGUGCUUUGAACACUGCUCAUCUUUCGAUCAAUGGCACUGUGAAACUAUCUGGGUAUUUAGUGCAAUGCUCAACAUGAAAAUUUGGUUGCUGCACGUAACUUUUCUUUCAAAAAUAAUUAAUAAAAUUUGAUAAAAUGAAAAUAUUUCAGAAUGAUUGAGAUUUGAAUCAACAAACAUAUUGUCCUUGCAGCUGUGGCUCAGCACUCUCAGCACUGAGUCAGAAGGUGAUGGGUUCAAUGUCCAUUCAGAGACAACUCUAAUCCACUUAAAAGUGCUUUUGGACUUUCGGAUCUUGUAUAAGCCACACAAUAAAUGUUUUUUUUUUAAA
Molecule: long non-coding RNA, 553 nt
Organism: Stegostoma tigrinum
Lineage: Eukaryota; Metazoa; Chordata; Chondrichthyes; Orectolobiformes; Stegostomatidae
Exons: 2
Source: RefSeq, a predicted model, not a curated record